Molecule: non-coding RNA, 72 nt
Organism: Zootermopsis nevadensis
Lineage: Eukaryota; Metazoa; Arthropoda; Insecta; Blattodea; Termopsidae
Source: Rfam
GCCACGGUGGUCUAGCGGUUAGAACGCUGGCCUUGUAAUCCUGGGGUCUCGGGUUCGAUUCCCGGCGUUGCC